Molecule: ribosomal RNA, 413 nt
Filed under: uncultured Rhizophagus
Lineage: Eukaryota; Fungi; Glomeromycota; Glomeromycetes; Glomerales; Glomeraceae
Description: partial 28S ribosomal RNA
Source: RNAcentral
GAGAGUUAAACAGUACGUGAAAUUGUUGAAAGGGAAACGAUUGAAGCCAGUCGUACCUUCGGGUAAUCAGCCUUUCGGGUGCGAUUCUGUGGAGUGUGAGGAGCUUAAACACCUUCAUGUUUUGCAUAUUCGUACUCUUGGGUGUACUUGCCCGUGUGGUUGGUUAACAUCAAUUUUGGUGGUCAUAAAAUGACUGGAGGAAUGUAGCUUCGAUCUUGUAUUGAAGUGUUAUAGCCUUCGGUAGAUGUGAUGAUCAAGAUUGAGGAUUGCAACGGAUACCCUUCGGGGCUACCUGUCUGGUCUCUGAUCGUUGCUCUGGUGCCGAAAGCUUGCUUACGGUUAUCAAAGUCGAUGGUCAAUAGGUUAGAACGGGUUAAAUUCGUUAAGGAUGUUGACGUAAUGGCUUUAAACGA